Molecule: ribosomal RNA, 253 nt
Filed under: uncultured bacterium
Lineage: Bacteria
Description: partial 16S ribosomal RNA
Rfam family: Bacterial small subunit ribosomal RNA
Source: RNAcentral
UACGUAGGGACCGAGCGUUGUCCGGAUUCAUUGGGCGUAAAGAGCUCGUAGGCGGCCACUCAAGUCGAAUGUGAAACCUCGAGGCUCAACCUCGAGCCUGCAUUCGAUACUGGGCGGCUAGAGUCUGGUAGGGGGAUCUGGAAUUCCUGGUGUAGCGGUGGAAUGCGCAGAUAUCAGGAGGAACACCGGUGGCGAAGGCGGGAUCCUGGGCCAGUACUGACGCUGAGACGCGAAAGCGUGGGGAGCGAACAGG